UGGGGAAUAUUGCACAAUGGACGGAAGUUUGAUGCAGCGACGCCGCGUGGAGGGUGUAGGCCUUCGGGUUGUGAACUCCUUUUUCUCGCGAAAAAGGCACAGUUUUGGCUGUGUUGAUGGUAGUGGGGGAAGAAGCGCCGGCUAACUACGUGCCAGCAGCCGCGGUAAUACGUAGGGCGCGAGCGUUGUCCGGAAUUAUUGGGCGUAAAGGGUGCGCAGGCGGCUUUACAAGUUGGAUGUGAAAUAUUGUGGCUCAACCACAAACGUGCAUCCAAAACUGCAAAGCUUGAGUUAAGGAGAGGUAAGUGGAAUUCCUGGUGUAGCGGUGGAAUGCGUAGAUAUCAGGAGGAAUACCGGUGGCGAAGGCGACUUACUGGACUUAAACUGACGCUCAGGCACGAAAGCGUGGGGAGCAAACAGG
RNAcentral lists this ribosomal RNA (421 nucleotides) under Fusobacteriota bacterium. RNAcentral's name for it is "Fusobacteria bacterium partial 16S ribosomal RNA". It matches the Rfam family "Bacterial small subunit ribosomal RNA", at positions 355 to 776 of the family's 1533-position model. The record is from RNAcentral. Lineage: Bacteria; Fusobacteriati; Fusobacteriota.